AGCUUGCUCCUCUGACGUUAGCGGCGGACGGGUGAGUAACACGUGGAUAACCUACCUAUAAGACUGGGAUAACUUCGGGAAACCGGAGCUAAUACCGGAUAAUAUAUUGAACCGCAUGGUUCAAUAGUGAAAGACGGUUUUGCUGUCACUUAUAGAUGGAUCCGCGCCGCAUUAGCUAGUUGGUAAGGUAACGGCUUACCAAGGCAACGAUGCGUAGCCGACCUGAGAGGGUGAUCGGCCACACUGGAACUGAGACACGGUCCAGACUCCUACGGGAGGCAGCAGUAGGGAAUCUUCCGCAAUGGGCGAAAGCCUGACGGAGCAACGCCGCGUGAGUGAUGAAGGUCUUCGGAUCGUAAAACUCUGUUAUUAGGGAAGAACAAAUGUGUAAGUAACUAUGCACGUCUUGACGGUACCUAAUCAGAAAGCCACGGCUAACUACGUGCCAGCAGCCGCGGUAAUACGUAGGUGGCAAGCGUUAUCCGGAAUUAUUGGGCGUAAAGCGCGCGUAGGCGGUUUUUUAAGUCUGAUGUGAAAGCCCACGGCUCAACCGUGGAGGGUCAUUGGAAACUGGAAAACUUGAGUGCAGAAGAGGAAAGUGGAAUUCCAUGUGUAGCGGUGAAAU
RNAcentral lists this ribosomal RNA (625 nucleotides) under Staphylococcus epidermidis. RNAcentral describes it as "bacterial SSU rRNA". It matches the Rfam family "Bacterial small subunit ribosomal RNA", at positions 77 to 687 of the family's 1533-position model. The record is from RNAcentral. Lineage: Bacteria; Bacillati; Bacillota; Bacilli; Caryophanales; Staphylococcaceae.